GAGACAUCAGAGCCAGUGGCAAAUGUCAGAAGAACUAGCCGAGGUGAGACUGCUGUCAUCGGUAAACAUGAGCACCAUGAACCUCUGGACAGCACCGACCACAAGAGAAGUGCUCAGCAGCUCAGCAUCGCCAUGGGCCACCUUACCUUGGUUUUGAAGGGGGAGGAGGACAUUAUUACUGACGGAAAGAACAUGCUGACCUGUAGUCAAGAGGGCAGUGGGCGGCGCUGUGGGGGCAGGGAGAUCUGCUCUCCGGUUCCUUAGGAGUCUUCGCCCACUGGGCGUUCAGCUCACCUCCAGAUGCAACCAAAGGCAUGAAUCCCUCGCUGGUGGCUGCCUUCCGGUGCUACGUCUCUGACAAGGCAGUGUAAUCGCCAGGCCUUCCACAAGCACAGCAGAUCUACCACCACCUCUGACAUGAUCCAGGAGAUAAGCAGCGCUUUCAAGAAGUUGUUUGAAAGCUAAACCCGCG
Long non-coding RNA from Carassius auratus (goldfish), 472 nucleotides. RefSeq lists it as uncharacterized. NCBI's taxonomy places the organism in Eukaryota, Metazoa, Chordata, Actinopteri, Cypriniformes, Cyprinidae. The record is from RefSeq and is a predicted model, not a curated record. The transcript is spliced from 4 exons.